GAUGAACGCUAGCGGCAGGCCUAACACAUGCAAGUCGAGGGGUAGAACACUUCGGUGUUUGAGACCGGCGCACGGGUGCGUAACGCGUAUGCAAUCUACCUUGUACAGGGGAAUAGCCCAGAGAAAUUUGGAUUAAUGCCCCAUAGUAUAUAACCUUCGCAUGUUGGUUAUAUUAAAAGUUCCAACGGUACAAGAUGAGCAUGCGUCCCAUUAGUUAGUUGGUAAGGUAACGGCUUACCAAGACGAUGAUGGGUAGGGGUCCUGAGAGGGAGAUCCCCCACACUGGUACUGAGACACGGACCAGACUCCUACGGGAGGCAGCAGUGAGGAAUAUUGGUCAAUGGUCGCAAGACUGAACCAGCCAUGCCGCGUGCAGGAAGACGGUCCUAUGGAUUGUAAACUGCUUUUAUACAGGAAGAAACCCUCCCACGUGUGGGAGCUUGACGGUACUGUAGGAAUAAGGAUCGGCUAACUCCGUG
Molecule: ribosomal RNA, 479 nt
Filed under: uncultured bacterium
Lineage: Bacteria
Description: bacterial SSU rRNA
Rfam family: Bacterial small subunit ribosomal RNA
Source: RNAcentral